Molecule: ribosomal RNA, 467 nt
Filed under: uncultured bacterium
Lineage: Bacteria
Description: partial 16S ribosomal RNA
Rfam family: Bacterial small subunit ribosomal RNA
Source: RNAcentral
GACGAACGCUGGCGGCGUGCUUAACACAUGCAAGUCGAACGGAAAGGCCCUGCUUUUGUGGGGUGCUCGAGUGGCGAACGGGUGAGUAACACGUGAGUAACCUGCCCUUGACUUUGGGAUAACUUCAGGAAACUGGGGCUAAUACCGGAUAGGAGCUCCUGCUGCAUGGUGGGGGUUGGAAAGUUUCGGCGGUUGGGGAUGGACUCGCGGCUUAUCAGCUUGUUGGUGGGGUAGUGGCUUACCAAGGCUUUGACGGGUAGCCGGCCUGAGAGGGUGACCGGCCACAUUGGGACGGAGAGACGGCCCAGACUCCUACGGGAGGCAGCAGUGGGGAAUAUUGCACAAUGGGCGGAAGCCUGAUGCAGCAACGCCGCGUGCGGGAUGACGGCCUUCGGGUUGUAAACCGCUUUCGCCUGUGACGAAGCGUGAGUGACGGUAAUGGGUAAAGAAGCACCGGCUAACUACGU